CUGAAAAAGAAAAACCUAAUCCUUCAAAUCUUCGCUAUCCUUCAAAUCUUCACUAUCCUUCGAGUCUUCGAUACGCUUCGAAUCCUUAUGGGGAAGUCUAUAAAUGAUACGUCCCUUGCUUGAAUCAUAACGACUUACUUCAAUUUUGACCCUAUCCCCCAUCAGUAUUCGUAUAGAACUAGACCGAAUCUUUCCUGAAAUAUAGCCCAGGAUGAUGGUGUCAUUCUCUAGACGAACGCGGAACAUUCCGUUGGGUAGGGCUUCCGUAACUAAACCUUCGAAAGUUACUUUUGCUUCUCUCGGGUUUUUCUUUUCUCGCCUAUUUUUUUUUCUGUCAUUUUUUUUCUGGCUAUUUUUACCAAGAUCUGAAGUGUGCCAGAUAUAUCUCAAGAUACGUUUUACUGCUGUCCAAUGAACACUUGUGGGUUUAUGCAAAUAUUGACAUACCUUGUUCACUGAGAAAGCAAUGUCAGGACAUGUCAAAGUCAAGUACUGAAGUGCACCUACUAUACUUCUGUAUUUUGUGCCAUCUUCCUGUUCAAGUAGCUCUCCAUCAUGAGCUGACAGUUUCUCUAUACUUGACAAUGGAGUUGGCGAUCCUUUGCAAUGCUGCAUCCCAAUAUUUUCCUUGGGACAGUACAAUGCCAUCUUCAUUCUUCUUUACUUCUAUACCAAGGAAGUAGUGCAAAUCACCAAGAUCCUUGAGAGCAAACUCAAACCCUAGAUCUUUCAAUAAGGCUGAAACUGCAUCACCUGAAGAGCUGGUGACAAUAAUGUCAUCUACAUAUAUGAGCACAAAUAUGGUUAUGCCUGACUUGUUGAAAAUAAACAAGGAAGUGUCUGAUUUUGAUGGCAUGAAGCCUAGCUGCUGCAGCUUGCUACUUAACCUAGAAUACCAUGCUCUAUGUGCUUGUUUUAAUCCAUAUAAGGCUUUGUCUAACUUGCAAGUGUGAUUCGGAGAAUUCUUAUCUUCAAAACCUGGUGGUUGCCUCAUAUAGACCUCCUCUUCCAGAACACCGUGCAAGAACGCGUUCUGCACAUCUAGUUGGCGCAAACUCCAACCUUUUGACACAGCAAUGGCUAAGACAAGUCUAAUAGUGGCAGCCUUGACAACGGGACUGAAAGUGUCCUCAUAGUCUAUGCCAUAGCGUUGCUUGAAGCCUUUUGCUACAAGUCUUGCUUUAUAUCUGUCUAUAGUACCAUCUGACUAUUUCUUGAUUCUAUAGACCCAUUUGCAAUCUAUGAGAUUUUUACCUUCUUGAGGCGGUACCAAAUGCCAUGUUUUAUUUUUCAUCAGGGCAUUAUAUCCAUCUUCCUUCCACCUUUGUCUUCAAGCGCCUGCUCCAAUGUUUCUGGUUCACCUGUAGAUGUCAAUAGACCAUAGCGUAUCAUACCAGGGAAAAGCUUUCGUGGCUUAACAAUUCCUUGUUGGAGUCGGGUCACGGCAUGAGGGGGUGAAGCUGGUGGUGCAGGUGGUGAAGCUGACGGCGCAGAGGAUCCGAAGCUACUUGAAUCUGUUGCAGAAGAUCUGGAAUUUGCCGCAGAAGAUCCGCCGGAGUUUUGGGCGGGAGAUGGCAUCAUCUACGAUGCUUCUGUGCUUGUCGGGCUUGCGCUUGCGCCAGGUGUCGUCUGCUGAUCCGGGGAAGCUCCGCCUGCAGUAGUACUGCCCCGAUCUUCUUGGGAUCGCACGCAGGCAGAGUCUGCCUAGGAUCGCGUGAUGGCAGUGGCGGGAGAAUCUCCCUGGCCUUCUGCUUGAUGCACACCAGAAUUGCACACGGAUAUAUUUGUUUGCCUGAAACUUGCUGGAAUUGCUGCAUGAGACUCAUUAGAACUAUUAGCAGCAUUAGUACGAGUAUUAAUCACUUGAUCAUCAUCAUUAAAUUCGCCCUCAUGAUGAAGAGGUCGGAGGUGCUCCGGGAGAAGAAGGAUUUCAGACCAAAAUAGAUGACCAGCAUUUGGAUGAAGAGAUUUGAAGGGAAAAACACUCGCAUCAAAAACAACAUCACGAGAUAUAUAUAUUCGGCCAGAAUCAACAUCUAGGCACUUGACCCCCUUAUGGCGUGAGCUGUAUCCAAGAAAAACGCAUUGCUUAGAGCGAAAGGCUAGCUUGCAGGAAUUAUAGGGCCGCAAAUUGGGCCAACACGCACACCCAAAAACUCUGAGAGAGGUGUAAUCAGGGGUGGUGCCAAAGAGACGCUCUAAUGGAGUUUGAGAAUUAAUAACUUUGCUUGGAAGCAUGUUAAUUAGGUAUGUGGCAGCAAGAUAAGCUUCAUCCCAGAAUUUGAGUGGCAUAGAUGCGUUUGCUAGGAGAGCUAGGCCAACUUCAACUAUGUGGCGAUAUUUUCGCUCAGCCGAACCAUUUUCUUGAUGGGCAUGUGGACAGGAAACAUGAUGCAUGAUUCCUAUCUUUUGGAAGAAAGAAUUUAAUUUUUCAUAUUCUCCUCCCCAGUCAGAUUGCAUGGCAAGGAUUUUUCGGUCAAAUUGUCGUUCAACAAGUGCUUGGAAAUUGUGAAAGACAGCAAAAACAUCAGAUUUCUUUUUGAUGAGGUAGAUCCAUGUGUAUUUGCUAUAAUCAUCGAUAAAACUCACAUAGUAAGAAAAAUUGCCAACCGAAGUGGGGGCCGAACCCCAAACAUCAGAGAAUAUCAACUCUAAUGGAACAGUGGAUACACUUGUAGAAAUAGGGUAUGGCAAUUGAUGACUUUUUGCUUUCUGACAUGAAUCGCAACCGAAUCACCUAAGGACUCACCAUCAUGUGGGAGUUUAUUUUUACUAAGCACUUCAUGAACUACUGAAGACAACGGAUGACCUAAACGACUGUGACACCUAGACGAAGAUAAUUUGGUGGCACUAAGACCUUGCUUGCGAAACUUGAACUUUGGUGGAACUAGGGGGUAGAGUCCUCCUCUACAUCUGCCUCAAUGAAUUAUUCCCCUUGUGACCUGAUCCUUGAUCAAAAAGAAUUUAGGAUGAAAAUCAAUAGAGACUUGAUUGUCGGUAGUGAGGCGAUGAACAGAAAGAAGAUUUUUUGAUGUACUUGGAACAUGCAAGAUGUUAUUUAAAUGCAAUGUGCGACUAGGGGUGCGAAUUGAUGAGUGACCAAUGUGAUCAAUUUUCAUACCAGAUCCAUUGGCGUUGUGCACUUGGUCCUGCCCCCGGUACUUGUCGCGAAUGGAGAGCUUCUCGAGCUCGCGGGUGAUGUGGUCAGUGGCUCCACUGUCGGUGUACCAGCUGGUAUCACCGCCAUAGGAAGUGUUGAUGGAGCCUGCCACCUUCUCCUCUGCUUGGUAGUCUUCAUCGAAGCGCCACCAGCACUCAAGUGCCACAUGCCCAACCUUGGAACAGAUUUGGCACAUAGGUCGUGGUUCAUUGCCACGUCCGUUGUUGGUGUUGUUGUUGGAGCCUCCUGGAUGCUGGUUCUUGUUGGUGUAGGUGCGUCCGCCGCGAUUGCCAUGUCCACCAUUGCCGCGUCCGCGCUGUCCACCGCGGCCACGAGAUGAGGAGCCACCGCGUCCACGUGUGGCAGCGUUGGCUGAAGACUUGAAGUUGCCUCCGCCCUGAAGGAGCUCCAUGCGUGUGUCGAAGUUCGACAUCUGUGAGUACAGCUCACCAAGUGUGAUGCCAUCGGUCUUUGCAUCUAGUGCAGAGACGAGCGGGUUGUACUCGAUGUCGAGCCCCGCGAGGAUGUAGGACACCAUCUCAUCUUCUCCUAGCGGCUUCCCGGCAGCAGCAAGUUCAUCACCGAGGCUCGUCAUCUUGGAGAAGUAGGCAGCAACCGUCUGGUUGCCCUUGGUGGCGUUGGCCAACAUAAUCCGUAGAUUGUUGACCCUUGAUCUGGACUGAGAGGAAAACAUGUUUUCCAGAUAAAUCCAGACUUCUGUCGCGCUCGUAAGCGAGACAACCUGCAUCAAAACUUCUUUGGAAAGAGAUUUGAGCAGGUAAGAAAGGACCUGUUGGUCCUGCGCAACCCAUAUCACGUAGGCCGGGUUUGACUUCUUGACGAUCGUCUUGUCGGCUUCUUCAUACUCAAGCUCCUUGCUGGGUGCCUUGAUCGAGCCAGCCAUAGAGCUGUGCACCACGCACAUCAGGAAAGACUUGUGCCUUCCAUAGGAGAUAGUUCUCCCUGGUGAGCUUCUCAGUAACUGUGCCACCGAGAGCAGUUAUGGGGUUGGAUGAAGAGGACGCCAUGGAAAAAGUUUGGAGAUUGGAUCUAGAUGGGGAUGGAAGAGGAAGGCUCUGAUACCAUGUGAAAUUUAUGAAGCGUUCUCACCCUUUGUCUCGGUCACAUCUUUGUUUAUAUAGAAGACCGAUCAAGUCGGUUGAGUACAUCUUGUGUUACAAGAAAAGGAGUUUAAACUCCCAGGAGAGAUAGAGUUGUUAGAGAUACAACUAGAGAAUCAUGCCGACUAUACAAGAUUGAUAUCUACGGCUAAUCAAGUUGUUACAAACUCUAACAGUGUGGUCUGCCCCAUGUCCACGUAAUGUUCAACAGUUUUCUGUGGCUAGCACAUAACAGUCUGCCACUCUUGUCGAACAUUAAACGACGUGGUGUUGAUUGUGAGCCACUUUGUUUCCUAUGCCACAGGCAGAACGAGGAUGGUGGGCACCUGUUUUUCCGUUGCAAGAAAGUCAAACAAGUAUGGAGAGACAUGGGCCUGGAAGAUAUCCGACUUCAGUGUGUUGCCUGUAAUGGUCCGAAGGAGGUGUUGAAGUUUUUACUCCGUCUCAGUGUGGGGAAACAGACUCGUUGUUUGGCUUUGCUCUGGAAAUGGUGGUGUGCCAGAAAUAAAGAAAAUGCUGGAGAAUCAACUUGCGAUACCGCUGCUGUUGUCUUGUUGGCUGGACGAGCUGCUUUAGAGUAUGAGCGACACUGUGCUACCGUGAAGGACGAGCCACUGAAGAAACCACAACACUGGACUCCACCAAUGGGCGACAUUCUGAAAGUUAACAUCGAUGGCAGUUUCAGUGAUGGUUCUGGCGGAUGGGGUUUUGUCAUUCGGGACUGUGAUGGCGAUGUGGUUGUGUCAGGUGCAGGUCGUGUUCCUUCUUUGCAAGACGCCCUGCAGGCUGAGGCAGAAGCGAGCCUCCAUGCCCUACAUACUGCCCAGGAUUGGGGCAUAUCGAGAGUCCAGGUUGAGACAGAUGCACUGCUUCUGGUGCAUGCGCUGAAGAGCAGUGAACAUGAUCUGGCCAUCAAUGGGAUGAUCUUCAAGGAGAUUCGUUCCUUUGUUUCGUUAAACUUUAUGUUUUUUGAUGUUGUGUAUUGCCCUCGGGCUUGUAAUAGAGUAGCGGACGCCAUGGCGGCGUUCGGCGCGAAGAUGGUUCAUGAUGAACCCCAAGCCGUUUGGCCGGGUGAUGUUCCUACCUUCGCGCGCUCUUUGGUCGCAAGCGAUUUUGCUGCGCACCCAGUUUAAUAUAAGUUGGUCUUCGAGUUUAAAAAAAAAAACUCCAUAGGACCAGAAAAGGGGCUAAAGAAACUAUAUCGCCAGACUGGCCAUAUGAGCGAUUCGAGAUCUGAGGAGUAUUUAAUUCCUAACGAGUAUCAAUCACAAAAAGCCAGCAUCAGCAGCACAUCUUUUCAAGAUCCGGCGACCACAACACAGAUCAUACAGACAGACAGCCUCAUUUGGCGCCGGCGCCGGCGAGCCGCCGGCCGGCCUGCUCCAUGAGCACCAACAAGCCCUGGCACUCCUGCAUCACAAGCUCAUCCAAACCCCCAUUAAUCAUCGCCGGGAAGAAGAGCCAGAACCCCGUGCCGCCCACGAACGCCAGCGUGAGCGGCACCGCGAGCGCCCGCGGCGGCCGCCACCACCCGGCCUGCCUUCCCCACCACGCCUCCGCCGCCGUGCAGACCCCAUGGAGCACGAAGAACCCCGUCACGUCGCCGCUGGGCGGCCGCCACAUGAUGUAGUAGAAGAUCACCUCGUGCAUGAGUCCCGAAACUAGGAACGACACCAUGACGCCGGCCGCGUCGCCGAAGCAAGCGCGCACGGGGUUGUAGACGGAAGGGCGGAGGAUCGCCGGCACCAUGAGGUUCCACCGCCGGCCCCAGAAGUCCCGCAGCGACGACGCCAGGUACGGCCGGUCCACCUGCGGCUCCAUCUCCAUCCCCAGCGCACCGUGGAUCAGGAUGCGGACGGCGGCCAGGAGGAGCUCCAGGGAGAAGUAGAUGUGCGCGGCGUACAUGGCCAGGAGCUGCCAAUGGCUCAUGGAAUCCUUGAACUGGUACCCGUAGAUGAUUAAGGGGAUCACGGCGCCGGAGACGAGGAUCUUAUAAGCAGCGGCAGGGGCGGAAGGGGGAUCUUGCUUCAGCUUUGAUUUGGGCGGCGGCUGCCGGAGCUUGACGGGGAGGGCGGCGGAGCAGGCGAAGUGGAGCAAGGGGAGGGACGGGUCUGCCAGGGGCCCGCGGCCGGCGGCGAGGAGGAGGAGCUUGAAGGUGCCGAGCCAGCAGAGGAAGAAGGCGGAGCUGCCGCGGAACGUGGUGGAGGAGAAGGCGAAAGGGAUACCGUAGAAGAGCACGACGACGGGGAGAAGCGCCAGGAGGCGGCCCGAGCCUGGGCGGAUGUCCGCGGCGGCCAUGCGGGCGUAAGCCAUGGCCGCCCAGACCGCCGCCGAUGCCUUCACGAGGGUCCCGAGCUCGCCGUCCAUGAACGCCGCCGCCCCCGCCAUUGUUGUGGUGGCUGGUGAGCACGAGGAAAUAAAUGGUCGGCUAAUUGGUCUCUCGAUCGAGAGCUUUUGAGGCUGUGGCUUGCGUCUUGCCAAGUUGCCAUUUGAGUAUUUGACUUGCCCUUGAUUUUAUUUACUGUCCCAUUAUGUCCACCACGUACGGCAAUUAGUCCAUGUCUCAGAUUCAAUCAACAGUCACUCACAGUGUAAUCCCGGACACGAGCCGGAAAUUCCUGAGACAAAAAAUAAAACUACGGCGACAUCGCACUCCAAACUCAAACAAAUUCAGUAAAAAUAGUGGUCCUUCCUGCUUGACACAAUUCAUUUGCAUAUUUCUCUUUUUAAUUCCUUCUAAAUGCAUAGAACAUCAUACUAAACAUGAUUUUUAUGAAGUUUGCACACUUUGCACCGAACGAGGGUUUUUGUCAGAUACGCCGCCCCAUUAUAAAGAUAGCCAUGUCUUACACAAAUAGUUCACAAACUAUGCCACGAAGGAAUACCACACAAUGCAUAAUGCAUAAUGUAUCAAAACAUAAAAACCUCUAAUGAAAGGUCAAAAAUAUUUUUUAAACUUAUAAAAAUGCAAAUAAGUUCUCGAAAUUCCUGGUCACUCCUAAUACUCCCCUCACUAGCUACACUCUAUUGGGGAUCCUCAUCUUCGUCCUCAUCCUCGCUCUCUUCUUCUUUACCUUGUGGAAGAAUGACUUCAUACUCCGGUCAAGACUUGCCAUGAACGGAUCCUCAUUGCUCUCAAAUGGAGUGAUGCUCUCCUCACUACCAUUUGGAACAUCUAACUCCAUCUUCUGCAUCAUCUUCUUUGGGUUGGAGCGGUUGUGCUUGGAGUCAACAUGGGCUUCAUAAAGACGCUUCUCAUUGGCUUGCUCAAAGCAAAAUAGCUUCUUUAUCUUUCGACACUCAUUUGAGCCAAAAGACCUCAAUUGUCAUUCCUUUGAGCUCUCGCUUGCACAACAAAGUCAUCAUCCCCUUCUUCACUUGCUUCGGCGGAUGGCUCUUCCUCAAAUCUUGGAGGUGACUCCAUUGGAAAUAAUCUUAGAGAGAAUCAAAGCCAUGAGACAUGAGAUGCAUAUGAAGGCACUCUUCUAUACAUGGCAAUGGAAUACAUCUUAUGCCAUAAGAAACUCAUCACAUCCAAAAGCUCGGUAGUCUCACGCCUCCUAUGGGUAUGGAUCAUAAGAUCACCAAAAAAUCCAUGUACCUCAUCCAAGUUGCCUACCUUGCUUGCAACAGUCUCUCGGUAAAUCCUGUCCAUGAUGUCAUAAACGGGAAGCAAGUCCUUGGUUUUAUUCAUAGUACAAACCUCCAUAUGAGUCAUUAUUUUCUUAGUUCUCAGUUCACUGCAUUCUAACUACUUCUUAGCUUUUAAUUAAUUCUCUGUUCUAAGCAUCUCCCGUAUGAUCUCAGUAUUUUUUUUUCUUUUUUUGUUGGGACGUGUGUGCUAUCAAGUUUACGGUUUUUCUUGGAGAAGCCUAGCCAACGACCAUGAUUGAACCAAAACUGUCUGCAUGUAAUAUUUUGUACCCUUCGGAUGGACUCCUCAAAAACUAUCCGUACAAUUUCCACCCCUGACUCAGUGCCUCAGUGGCGGCUCCCGGCGGCCGAUUCCGUCGUGAGCCAGGUGUUGCGGUUGAUUCUAUCCAGACUUGAAAACACAACAUUAGUGAAAUCACCCCUAUAAAUGGAUGAUUAGAUUUGGUAGGUACUCCUAGCUUCUCUAAGGGAGUACUAGGAUACUUUAAAAUUCUCCACUAGUAAAGGUUGUCUCUUCAUUUUUGAAAAAGUAAGGUUAUCUCUUUCAAAAUUAAGAUGAUAUAUAUGUUUGAGAAAACUGCCUUUUUUCCGAUACAAAGAUUUUUCAAGGUUGAAAUGGGUUUGAGUUGAAAUCCAAAAAUCUGGGAAGAUUUUUACUGGCUAAUUACAUGCCAGGUAUGUCAUAUAAUAUCAUGAAGAAACUUACUUCACAGGAUCACUAAAAUAUGUUUUUAAUUGUUCUUAUAGACAACGAUAGCCAAUUGUUCUGUGCAUACAAACUUAUUUGACCUUGACAGACUGUUACAGAGGCGUACCUGCAUAUUGGAACUGCGUGACAGUAAAUGCCUUGUGAGUGACUACACUCAAAUAGAAGGAACGUUCCCAGUCAAUCCCAGCUGAAUUAACAUCGAUGAUCUUUUCAAGCAGGUAAUUGCAAAAAGGAAACAAGCAUAAUUUGCCCAGUAACUCUUGUACAUACAGCUUUAGAGUAGUUGAUGUGAAAUUACACUUUACUCGCAGCAGCCAGCAGAUCAGAAAACGUAUUUUUCCUGGUACUUCGGAGUAGAAGUUACACCAGAUACAAAACCAUUUGUGUUUGAUAAUUACGGUUGUACAGAUGAGUGAUGUAAUUUCAACCCAAAAGGAGUACACUUUGCUUCUGAGCCAUUUGUGUUUGAAUUUUGAACCACUAUACAAAGUGCCAACAAGAACAAGUGCUCAACAUCAAUUUGGAAACUACAGAAACACUACUGUUGCUAGUCAAAUUGCGCAGUUAAAGAUCAAUCAAUUAUCAAUGGCUGGAGAGAUAAGAGAUCCAUCUGAUGAGAUAAAACAUGGGGACUCUGCCCAAGGAGACAAGAGAAUGAACAUCAUAUAGUUUCAUGGGAUAUGAGAAGAAUCUUCUAUGUUGCUAUUCUAACUAAACUGCAUCAGGAAAACUGAGGCAUCUUGUUGUCCCCCAGCAACCUGCGAGAUGACCAGGAUGUCCUCCAUGUAGGUUACGCUCUCCAGUUUGUAUUCACGCUAGCUAUCUGCAAUGCAUGUAGAGUUUAGGUUAGACCAUUGCCAGAGCGAGCAGUUGCCUUGGUUUAGGUAAGAAAAGAAAAACAAAGAAGCAUUACAUUACCUGGACUAUUUUCAUCACUCAGCAAGAAUUGUCUGCAUUAUUUAUGAAAUUGCUUGACAUGUAAACAGUGGCUAGUGGUACCUGUAACCAUCCGUAAGAGAAGAACAUGACUCCAUUAGUUAUUCUUUUCCUUCACAAGUACUCCCUCCGUUCCUAAAUACUUGUCGCUAUUUUAGUGCAAACUUGAACUAAAACAGCGACAAGUAUUUAGGAACGGAGGGAGUAGUAGAAAUGGAUAACCGUGCAUUUCUCUCAAGUGCACUACAAGGCAAGGUUGGUGCAGCGAAAUGUAGAAAUGGUGUGUAAUGCAAGCCAAUACCAAGGAAAGUGGCGUGCCAAUGUUCUACAAGCAUGUACACCAGCAUUUAUCCCUUUUGCUUGAAUCCGAAUACCGGCUUGGUAUCCUACUGAUUGAAGCCAGAACACAGCAUGGUAAGGCAACAUGAUGAUCAACAUCACCAACCGCCCAAUUUUGUAUAGAAUCUGGAAAUAUAAAAUUCGGUUAUGACAAGUAUGGAGUACAAUACAUAAAUGAUUUUUUCAUAAGACGAUGAAUUCUUACCCAUGGGUCACUUGCACUAAACCACCAGUACAAAGUAAAUGGGACAGGAGUUGCCAUCAUUAAGUAUAUUGCAUUCUCAGGUGAGGGGAGGUACUCAACUAAACCCAAGUGCAAAAAAGCAACCAAAGAAACCAAAACCAUUGCUUGCCAUGCUCCCAGAGCAGCAACAAACAUAUGCAGUGGUGCUGACUUCGAAAAUGCAACUGUGACUAAUCCCAUCAACAUGAUUAACAACGAGAAAGUAAAGUAUAUGACACAAUAGUAUCCAUGAUGCUUGUUAGUCUCGUGAAUGACUUUCAACACAUCAGCAGUUCUACCGAAGCACAUAACUAUCAAUCCUAAGACACAUAAUUUCCCAUAACUUUCUAGCCUGGUGUUCUUGGCACUAGCAUCUGUUGGGUUUGGGCAUCUAAACCCAACAGCAUCAUCAAGGGACCGAAGCCAACUAUGAAAAUCCAUCCCUGUAAAAAUCAAUUAAUUAAUUAUUAAAAAUCAACAAUUGAGCAAACAAAACUAUGAACAACAUAUUACUUUGCACAUCAAAUAGAAAAUAAUGGAAAGCAUCGAAGAUUUGAAAUCGUGACAACACUUUUCACUUUCUAGUAUGAGAAGGAAAAAAGAAAGGAAUGAGGGAAUCUGCUUGCUUGCUCAAUUGCUCCCACUCCUUACACAAAGCAUUGCAGAAUAUUAUCCGAAUUAGAGUGUGAAUUAUAUGGCAGCAAUUAAGGAACACCAAUUUCAGCGUCCUAUGGAACAUAUAAGCUAGACUGCAUGAUAGACUGACGAGAAUACUAACUACACCAGCAUAUUGGAAGUACUCGAAACCUAGUAACUCUUGCAACGUAAGAAAGAAUAUAUUUACACCAAUCGGGUGUGCUUCCAUAUACAUUUUCAAAUCCUAUUUAAAGAUUGAAUUCCGAUAACAUCUAUGAGUGAAUUUAUAUAUAAACGUCGCAGCUUGGUCCUCUCAUUUUGCUGUAAACAGACAAAGUAUAUUCAUAUCAAACUAAUGAAUUGAAUUAAAGUAUUUAUACGUAAUCAAUACAAGAUACAUAACGUUUGAGCACGCAAAAUCAUUUUAUUACCUACAUUUAUAAUUGCAUAGAUCACACUUAUGUGUUACAGAGCAGAAAUUGCAUAUCUAUUUCAGAGCAAAAAUUGCAGAAACUGAAAAGAGUAUUUAGUCUACCAACUUGCUAUGUUAUGCUCCAUGAAAAUGCUGCAGCACUAAAACAUAAAGCCUGGCCGUUCCAAGAUUAGAGCUGGUCGCGUGUCACUAGUCGAGUGGCGAAAUCAAUUUGGUGCCACAAACAGACUCUUCAAAAGAUUAUACUAUAACCCCUUCCGCUGAAUAGAUUCCACACCUGAAGUAGUUAAAAGAGAGAUUAUUCACAUUAACUUCUACAAGUCAUUAAUAAUUGAAAAGAGAGGUGCAACAGAUAAACCAAGAGCAUUCAUUCCUCUUCACUAUAAGAGAGAAACAUAUUAGGCAGGAAUCAAAGUACCAAAGUGGUUUGCAUUUUGCAGCAUAUAAAGCCCGAUUUAUGCAUACAAUGUAGUUUUUGUUUUUUCAGGAGGACCUCUCAAUCCUUACUGUCAGCAGUAGACCACAAACAACCCAGACUGACUAACAUUCUACUCUGAAUACUAGCCUUUCUGGACUUGAAGCAGCAUCAAAAUAAUUCACUGUGCUACACUGCCUCAAACAUCACCCAACCAAUGCUUAUAUGCCCAGCAUCUGAAAGGAACGAAAAAACUAAAACUGAACCCAGCAACGUACACAGCUGGUCUUAACUAGGUCUGGGAAUGGUGCAUGCAGGUCGAAACCGCACCGAUGCCAUGCAUAUCCUCAUCACGAUCACAGCAAAUUAGCAGACAGAGGCAGGCGCAAUGGCAGGCUGGCGCUUUGUGGCUACGGCAUUUUGUCAAACACCUGGUGGUCGUGAAAACAACUGUACGUGGCGGCAGCUGGAUGAACUGAACGCCGCGGUGGAUGGACGGUGGAGAUCGACGGCGAGGCCAGAAGCGAUGCCGCGAGCGAGCUCGGCCGCGAAGCACCGGCGCGGCUAGACGCGUCGCCGGCCGUGGGCCGCCGGGGACGCCACGGGAUGACGCGCCGGCGCCAAGGCCGGACGAGCACGCGGUCGAACACUAGACGAGCAACUAAGCGUCAUUGCUGGCGCGAGCGGCGACGGCGCGGUCCUCCCGUACAUUGUCUCCGACGACCGCCAGACCAUGAAUUGAACUCAGCUUUAGGGAUUUUAGGGAUUUGCGUACCUGCUAGCUGCGGCUCCGUGGACGACGGAGCGCCGGUGUGGCGUCGUGCGGCGCUGCGUUGGCCUUCUGCCUGUGGAUCGUCUUCAAUCUCCCCGUGUGUCAGAUCCCCGGAACUGCAGGGUUUUGAGAUCAUCGGUUCAGGCCUUCAGGGAGGAAUACCAAAGCGGAACGAAAAGCAUAUGGGCCCUGGGCUGCUGCCCAGUUUGAGCCUUUCUUCAACGGGGCUGUAGGGGUUGUAGCCCACCAAAAUUUCCUCAAAAAAAAAACAAGCACCAAAAUCCUCUCAAAACAAAAAGCACCAAAUAAUAAUAAUAAUUCUUUUCUGCAGUUUGCAUAUUUUUAUGGUGUAUGGCCAUAUAGCAUGUGAGUUUCUAGCGUUGGAGCCGAAAGCAAUUAGGGAUUAAAUGGACGGCGUUUCGAAGAAUUAAGCUGUGCUGUGUGAUAAAUGAUAAAUAUUCUACCUCCUACAAGGAACAUAUUUCCAUUUUCUGUUAUUAACUUCGUGCUAUCUGUACCUGAAACAACGGACUCCAAAACCGCUUUGAGAAAACCACUGGUAACUUCCUGCUGCCGAUUACUGGUUAGCCCAAAUUUGCAGAGCAUGACAGGAUGAACUGAUCAAUGUGUUGUUUAAUCAGUGGAAUUCUCUGCAUGUAGGUGAUCACUGAUCAUAGUCUGACGGGUAAACAAGGUUAAAUUAAUUACCCGGGGCAGUUGGUGACUUGGUACAUGCAUGCAGCCUGAAUAAUCUACUGCUUCCUUAGAUAUGGUCAUUCAGAUUUGACGGAGAGGUUCAGUUCAUCGUGCCAAGUCUCAGGAUUUUUUUAGCCAUCCUUCUAGAUCAUCACGAGCUAAAUUAAGGACGAAGCUGCUGUUUUCUACCACAUGUCAUCCCAUAAAUCCUUCAGAAACAAUGCAUAGUUCAGCAGCCGAUCUAUGACUUGGUGCAAGGUUCUCGAUUAGAAAAAUAACACACUUAAUUUUGUCUGCUCAAUCGAUGACUUGGCGCAUGCUAGGUAUGCCCUUUUGACUAUCUCCACAUGAUGUCAAUCAAUCUGGACCUACAAUUAGUUCUUUUUGUUUGUUAAUUAACCUGUAGUUAAUUAUGUUUGUUCCUUCUUGUCAACGCAGCAUCCUCAGAUAUAUAAUAUACAGCAGAGAUCAGCAACACCUGUCAGCUCAAGCAUAAGAACCAAUGGAAUGAAAUCAUAUGUUUAAUUUAUUUUCAAUUCUGUGAUGGAUCCAGCGAAAGAGGCAAGGUUGAAUAAUUCCUUAUGUUUAAAACUGUUCUUAUCUUCUGAAACUCAAGUUUUAUUAUGCAGCAUGGAGCAUGCGACUUCUUCUUUAAUUUCGACCUGCUGGUCGUUUUCAGUCUACUGGUUGUUCUAAUCGGCAAGUCCAAAUGGAAGUUCGGUUCAUGUUUGGAUGCUUCUUUCAGAAGAUGUAUAAAUUAUAUAUAUUUAGGAACAUGUCAAAGAGUCAGAGCAUAUAUGCAUGCAUUGAGUCUCUGUAUUUGGUGUAAGCUCUAAUCUGUCUACAUGAUCAUUAAUUUCUUAUAUAUCAAAAAGAGGAAAGAAGUGGAAAAUUUCAAUCUUCAAUUAUGGAAUAAUAUCUUUGAUUUGCAAUGACUAGACUAUGGUGUUCAGGGUUUUCCUGGUUCAGGUCUGAACCUCUGAAGAUCCAUUAUGGUUAGGAAGAAACCAAAUUGAGCAGCUUUCUGAAAUAUUCAACACUCCAGCCCUCAAACUACUAACACAUCCUUUUCUUUUCAAAGGUCAAGUCUUCAAAAACUGAACUAAAAAGGGGGGAAAUCGAACCAGAAGAAGGAAAUACUUAUAUAUGAACAGCAGCUGAUGGGAUACCUCAGAGCUGAGCCAAUACUACUUAUAUAUGAACAGUAGUUGAUGACAUAUUACUACAUUUGUCAUUUGCCAGGAUCUUUGGAGCCAUCAACCAGCGGUUGCAAUGGCUACCUCAGAGCUGGGACUUCCUGCAGUCUCAACAGAACCAACUUUAAUUUGCCUGAAUAAUCUACCCAUGAACCAACUUUCAGAACUCAGACGUGCCACAUGAUCACAAUAUUUACUUGACAAAUACAUAAAAUUAAUCCAUACAGUCAUGGUCGAGCAUUUGGCCUACUACUAAUUAAUCGCCUCGAGGAAUGAAACCAAUCAGUCUAACUAAACUACCUGGUCCCAGGAUCAUAAACUCAUAAACUUAAUCCGGAGAUCGAGUUAAUUGAUUGAUUAAUCAGCUGCAUCGAGGAUCAUCAGCUACGCAACUUGCAGGCCUUGAUCCGUCCACAUGCGCCAUAAGAUAUCUUUGUCGACGAGUUACCGAGUGGCUAGAAAGGCACAACAGCAACUGGGAAACAUGUUAUGGGGUUCUGCAGCUAAUUUAGCUGAGGUUGGUUGACAAGCAAGGCAUAGCAUGUACACGCUUGCCUUCAUCUCAAGUUAAUCAGUAACUUCCAGCAAUCAAUGGCGCCGACCACUUGGUAAUUAAUCAACCUAGUUUGCCCUAGUGAAAACAAGAUGUUCGAAUUGUCUAACGUUAAGAUUACUAGAAUAUAUAUUGGUGCUUGAUUCUAUGAGUGAGUAUUUACAAAAUUAUUUUGCGGUUCACCAAAAAUGACUUUUUCAAAAUGCCUUCACUCAAAUUAUGAAAGAUUUGAUUGCCAAUAUCAUUUAUAUCAUUUUGAAUUGGGAACUUCAUAUGUCCUGAAAAGUAUUUUUCGAAUAUUACAAUAAAAUUGGUAUUAUAAACAUCUUGCAAUAAAAACUAGAAGUCAUAGUUACAUCUUGAAGAAUGUGUCAACAUCCAAAAUGUCAUUUUCUGUGACGAGGAGCAGAGAGUGCUUAUUUUUACAUGAUGAAACCCCAGCUCAAGAAUUCAAAAUUUAUCCUCAGUUUGAGAAAGUUCAAGAAAUUGAGCAUAUCUAUUUCGGUUGGCAGACAAAAUAUAUCAUCUUACAACCUAGAUAAAAGUCACAUCAGUUAUCUAUUUCUACAAUCAUAAAGUUUUAUUGCCUUUUUUUCCGCAUAAUUAAGAUAGUGCAGCCAUCUGGCCACCGUAACAAAGUCAUAGCCAAAAACAGAGGAUAUGAAUAACAAUAAAGGGUAAGAAAAAGGUCGGAAACACAUCAAGGGCUUAAACCACACAUAACGUAGUGUGAAAACCGCCAUCUAUGCUCGACGAAGAGCUCUUCGGCUACCACCUUCAAAGAAUGGCACGCAAGAAAAAAUGCUCUCUUGUCCUGUCCAAAAACUAUAAUCUGGAUUAGGAUCAUAGCCAGUGUGUACACGAAAAGAUGCCAGUUACAAAGAAUUGGAGUUUAUUUAUCUUGUCGAAAAUCAUACCAUUUUGACUUAGCCAAAUUAAUAGACAAACACACAGAGCAGCCAUGGCAACAAAAUAGUUAAACGAAGCCUCUGUCGCCGGUCUAGCCAAUUACCGAUCAUAUUGAUCGAUGGUACUAACUAAUUAAUGGUCCUCAAACAACUUGAUUAAUGACUGAUAAUGCAUGUUUACGUUUGCUAAACCAUUUCUUUAUCAGUUAAUUACCCUCCCUGCUCACUAACCAGUGACGUUUCAAAAUCACAAAGUCAAAUGUGAAGCCUUGGAAGAGCCAAAUGGAGAAUGCCAAGAGAGAUCAGGAGCUCAUGAGUGGGGCCCCAGGCAUGCGUACGUGCUCCCCUGUAAGCGAGUAGCCAGCUACGUGGUUGGGCCAGCAGCCAACAAACAAGAAAACAAGAGUAAAUAAUCUCAAUUAAUCAAAGUCAGCGCAAUGUGAUCUUAAGAUGCUCCAUAAUUCUAUUGACGCAUGCUACUACUGCUAAGCACUGCCACCAAAAUCCCGGACAGAAACCUUGCGUUGCCAGGGUUGCUUUGAUUUGACUCUCGACUGUUUGGAAUGGGUAAAUAGGGCCCAAGUUUAAUAAGAGAAAGUUCCCCGUGCUUCCCGCGAUUGCGGCGGAGCUCAUUCUCUUCUGGACAUGAUGCAAAUGAUCAUGACAAUUUUUGGAAAAAAAAUAUUUGCAGGAUAGCUUCUAUAAUCUCUAUGGCAAACAACCAAUCCACUUUUACACAAAAGAAGUGGACGGCAAUAGAAAUUUACACAUAAGCCCCAUGAGUAAAGAUAAGAGGGGUUAGUUUUACUAGGAGUAGGACGUUUAAUUAUCAUUUCCCCUCUACAUUAUUGUCCAAAUCCAAAUCUGAAUUUCAAGACAAUUUACGUUUUGUAAUUUUCCAUGACACCAUUUGCUCCGUAAUGACUCUUGCAGCAGAGAGAUGGCUCAGAGAUACACCUCGCCGGCCAUCCAAAGGGUAAAUAUGUUGGCAAGCAUUGGUCACCAGAAAAAGAAACGCUAGGCUAAAUGCUCUGUUCCAAGAUACUCGGCUAGGAUCAAGGGAUUCCUUUCCUUGUAUUACUCCCAUGUCGUCUAUCAAACCGUGCCAAUUCCUCAGCAAUUCUGUUUCUGCCAAAUGGAUAUGGAAUUAACAUAUAAAUGAAUACACAACACAAAAAUGUACCAUGCUAAUUAACUGAGACAAGUCAACUAGUUGAAGUCGGCAACGUGCUCAAGCAUGCACCAUGAUUGAUCACUCAUACGCUAAUAUGGCAUAUAUAAAUGAACAAAUAUGUAAGCUGCAGACUUCCUGAGUUGUUGACAGAUAUUAAUCUAAUAUUUCUGUAGAUGUCGCCUUCCUGUGUAUUAGACAGAAGCGCCACCUUGUUUGUUAAUUGUACUUUGGCGAGGGGUACAUUGCCGAAAAGAGAAAUGCUCAUGUAGUUGCCGUGUUGGCAUGUUUGAUUUCUUCUCAUCUUUUGAAAGGUAUGAUUCUUCUUCUUCUACAGAACUGCAUGUUUCUGUCUUCGACUCAAAUCAGUUUUAACACCAUCCAUUUUUUUUUCAAAAAGAAGAAAAACCUCCCGGCCUCAAUCGAUGCACAUAGCCUAAAUAUUAUUGAAGUCUCAUACAUCAUGCAAGGUAAACAUCAUGCAUCACCUGUGCAAUGCUACGGAACACCUUACAUUCGAUUUUUGUUACCACUAUUUAUUCUGCUUUAAUAGUCUGGUUGAUGGGAAAUUAGGGAUCGGAGAAUGGAGGCGGCAGCUACCGGUUGAUUGGGGGAAAGGCUGCAAAAGGAAGAAGAUAUCAGAGGAUAUGGAGUGAUACAACAAAGUGAGGUCAUUGUGAUUUGGACAGGCCAAUUUGUUAGUUGCCAGUGCUCAGGGAGAAAAUGCAUGGGAACUGAAUUGACGACCACCAAGUGGAAACUUUAUAAGUAGGAAAGAAAUAAAAAUACAACUUAUUUUUUCAAUACAGAAAUACAACUUCUUAUGAGAACUCUAAGCUAUAGGAUUUCAAUUCUAUGUGCCCAACAUCUAAGGCUAUGAUCAGUAGCUGGUCUCAGAGGAUGAUUAGCCACGCUAAGACCGAGACACGGCCCGGAUUUCUACGGGAGGCAGCAGUGGAGAAUUUUUGGCAAUGGGUGAAAGCCUCACGAAGCAAUGCCGCGUGGAGGUGGAAGACCUACGGGUCGCCAAGUUCUUUUCUCGGAGAAGAAACAAUGACGAUAUCUGAGGAAUAAACAUCGGCUAACUCCGUGCCAGCAUCCGGAAUGUGGGCGUAAAGAGUCUGUAAGUGGUUUUUCCAGUCCGAUGUCAAAUCCUAGGGCUCAACCUUGGACAGCGGUGGAAACUACAAAGCUAGAGUACCGCAGGGGCAGAGAGAAUUUCCGUUGGAGCGCCAAAAGCUCAUCUAAAAACCACAAUCGACAAAUAUGUUGCAUGAAUGCAAGCAUGCUAUUUUUUCUGAUUAAUGCACAUGGCUAAGUAAAAGUUAAAAUAAACUCCUUACGAAAGAAAAACUGCCCAUCAGGCCGGCAACUGUAGCUAGUGUACAUGACUGAGCCAACAAUUAACGCAUCGCAUGUGUCAAUGUGUCAGCUUGGGCUACGACGCUGAUCUGCCAUGAUAAUGGGAAAUAACUAAAGUUUGCGUAAAAACACAAAUAAGAAGAGAAGAGGCGAUCGAUGGAUGGAUGCGUGCAACUGCCAAAAGACAUUAAUCCCCAACGGCAACAAGCGAGUGAAAGGAUGGAGCUAGUAAUAUUUUCAAGGUACGCGUAAGCUAGGGUCAACUCCUUCACAGCUUCACUCAAGCUAGGGGCGGUAGAGAAGAUAAGGGGACACCGGCUUACACGUCUAAGCUAGCUUAAUUAGCAGCUGCCGUCACAUGCAUGGUCGACACUUCUAAACUUGAUCUCUUCCUACGUGCCAAGUGGAGUAGUGUCUAGUAGCUAGUAUUUCCCAAGGGAGAGCUAGCUAGCUCCGGUAGUACAUCCUUAUGCUUUGCAUGCAACUAUGCAAGUACGACAAGGGCAUUUUUUACCCACAUAAAUUUCAAAGGAAUCCGUUAAGAUUUUUUCCAAUGAAGAUUGUUUGAAUUGUAAGCAAACAAUUACAAAUAGUAGAACUUUAGCAUCAUUUUACAUUUAUAUGUUAGAUUUUUCAAGUAGGCUGAAUGUUAAACUUGAUAGCUAAUUGUGUAGCUACGGUUUCGUUACCAAAUUAGUCUUUCUCAUGGCCGCACUAUUCGCCAAUUUACACAUUGCCCAAUUGAAUUCGUUAUAUUCAUCCAAUGCCCAUUUUGACUACCCCUAUUUUUCGGACCUCAAGAUUCCGGAUUCUUGUCCGAAUCUGCUUUCCAAGACCAGAUAAAUAAUACGGGUCAAGAUCUCAGGGGCUGGCCCAGGAUUUUAACACCGGGUAUUCAAAAUUGUUCAAAAUUAUUUCGAAAUUUCAUUGGUCAAAUUAAUUGGUGAAAAAUUAAUUUGCGUCUCUAAUCGAGUGAUCCGUGAGGUGCUAUCCUCUUGUGUGUAGUGUAGUGUAGUGCGUGUAGCUGUUCUAUGACGGAAGUGGCGAAGCGCGGAGCAUCACCCUGCCUAGCCGGCCAACACCCAAAAGCGGAGACGCCGAGGAGGAGGCAUAGGAGAAGUUGCUAGGAUUUAAAAAGAGGCGAGGAGGCACGAGAUAGUUCGAUUUUCAACUAUAUAAAAUCCUACUUAGACCAUUGGGCCAAUUCGAGGGAAGGAUGAGAUAGAUGGCCAGUGCAUUUUAGGGCUCAAUGCUUCAAUACUUUGAGUUUUAGCCCAAAAUUCUUUCUAGAUGCAUACAUAUAUAGAGUACAUAAUACAUAUAUUCUUUUUUUUGCAAAAAUUCAGCUAGGCCUGCCCAUGGUCAAGGAUAGGAUAGGGUCAUUCCCGAUUUUUUUGGGGAGUGCUUAUUUCUCGGUCAAGUUAGAAAUAGUUAUUUCUCGGUCGACGAUCAUAGUCAUCCAAUUAAGAUUUUCUCAUCAUUUUAUACUUAUAUGAAUCUUGUACGAAUCUCAGUGAUUGGAUCAGGUGUUUUGUUUGCGUCGACUUAGAAAUAGUUACUUUUCAGUCGCCUUAGAAAUAGCAAAGCCGAUUUUUUUUCUCACCAUAGCUCCCAAACAAACCCAAUCUGGAAAGUUUUUUAUUUCAUGAAUACAGUACAAAAAUUUGGUGGGAAUUUCCUGGGCUCCCACACAAAAUCUCUCCCGAACACAUACCUUUAUCCUCAUUCUGUUUCUUUUACUUAUACAUGCAGUCUUUUAAGACAAAAUAAAGUAGUGGACAGAUUCUUUUUUCCUAUCUUUAUGCAAUAGCUGCAGUACUUAUUCAGUAUUCCUCCAAUAUCUACUCAAUUCCACCUCUCCUAACCCAAUAACUAUACUAUGGUAGCGUUAAAAUUAUUCAUCUAGGAAAAGUAAGAGCAAAAUGGUUUAGUAGGCUUUAGAAAUCUAAAUAUACAAAUAUUUUGAGAAACAUUGCAAAGGACUGUAUAAAAACAAAAAUAGAGACUGUAAUCUCUUUUCUUUUUUUUGCGGAAAAGAAUGUAAUUUCUUAUCAUACAAGACCGCUUAUACAAGACCUACAUUUAGCAGUUGAGAAAGACAAAGAAAUGAACUUACAAAACUAAUCAAAAUCGGUUACCACGAGCUAACCGUCUACACUGCACGCUCUAUAAUUGAUCUCAUCUGAUCUAUGUGUACCCCCUGCAUUGACCUUGCAAACACAUUUAUUUAAUCCCAAUUAAGAACCAGCACCUCAGCAUCGAGCACACACAUAUAAAAAAUACAAAACAAUUGCAUCGCAAUUCGCAAGAACCGAGGUAAACACCGGCCAGAAUGAUCUCAUCGCCUCUGCCUAGCUUGCAAACCAAUUCAAACCCCCCCUUAAUUGGGGCCAUAGCUAGCUUUCCCACAGCGAAGGGGAAUAUAAUAUUUUGUGUGAUGAAUAAACAAACAUUUGACACCUAACAUGCUGCGGUUAUAAAAGGGGGGGAUUGGUCUCCCAGCUUCCACACACCAUCUCUGCUUCUUCUUCUUCUUCUUCCACCUUCCAAGUUCUAGCAAUUGUUGGUAGCUUGCUAAUCCGGAACACUCACUCGGAACAAUGGUGAUCCCUGUCAUUGACUUCUCAAGGCUCGACGGAGAUGACAGGGCGGUGGCUCUGAUGGAGAUCGCCGCCGGGUUCGAAGAGUGGGGGUUCUUCCAGGUAAGCAUACAUAUAGGCAUAGCUUUUCAGGAGAUCAUGUUCAUCAAUGUAUGGAUGCCAUUCUUCUAUGAUGCUAAUUAUAAGAGAGGACUUGUGGUGCAGCUGGUGAACACCGGCAUCCCCGAUGAGCUGUUGGAGAGGGUGAAGAAGGUGUGCAGCGAUUGCUACAAGCUGCGCGAGGAGGGGUUCAAGGAGUCCAACCCCGCAGUCAAGGCCCUCGCUGCCCUGAUUGACCAGGAAGGCGAGGGCCUCCCCGCGAGGAAGGUCCAAGGCAUGGAUUGGGAGGACGUCUUCACCCUCCAUGACGACAUGCCUUGGCCCUCCAUCCCCCCCACCUUCAAGUAAGCCCCCAAUUCAUCAGUCGCUUACCGCAGCAACCCCUUUUUGCUGAUCAUCCUCUGAUCGAUCAGGCAUACAUGUGGGGCUUGAAUGUGCAGGGAGACGAUGAUGGAGUACAGGAGGGAGCUGAAGAAGCUGGCGGAGAAGAUGCUGGGGGUGAUGGAGGAGCUGUUGGGGCUGGAGGAAGGGCACAUCACCAAGGUCUUCUCCAAGGACGGUGACUUCGAGCCCUUCUACGGCACCAAGGUGAGCCACUACCCGCCGUGCCCGCGGCCGGAGAUGGUGGACGGGCUGCGUGCCCACACCGACGCCGGCGGCCUUAUCCUGCUCUUCCAGGAUGACCGCGUCGGCGGAUUGCAGGUGCUGGGCCACGACGGCGUCUGGGCCGAUGUCCAGCCAGUCGAGAACGCCAUCGUCAUCAACACCGGCGACCAGAUCGAGGUGAGUGAGCCCACCAUGUCCAUGACCACGCUUCUGGCGAGGUUAAUUGAGUAUUCUAGUACCAUGCUGGUCUUGGUGGACUUGAGCUCACGUUGAUAACAGUUGAGAUUUGUGGUGUUGUGCCUGCUUGCUUAGUGAUCUGGAGAGGCUGCUGCUAUUUAAAAUAUUUGAGUCAACCCAAGAAGAAGCCACCUCAACACUGUGUUGCCUGAUCAAUUCCUUACAUAGUCAAAAAGAUCGCUUUAAUAAGUUUGCUCCAGAUUGAAAUCCCAAAGCAUUAUACUCAAAUGUUUGACCAGAAUUAGUGCUAGUUGCCCAAUCUUGGACAAGAAUGAUUACUCAUUGCAAAGCAACUCAAUUGAUUUGAUUUCAGGUGAUGAGCAACGGGCGGUAUAAGAGCGCCUGGCACCGCGUGCUGGCCACCCGCGACGGCAACCGGCGAUCCAUCGCCUCCUUCUACAACCCGGCACGCAUGGCCACCAUAUCUCCAGCGACACCCGCCACCACCGACACCAACUCUGACUACCCAAGCUUCAUGUUCGGGGACUACAUGGAGGUGUACGUGAAGCAGAAGUUCCAAGACAAGCAGCCCAGGUUCGCCGCAGCGGCAGCGACAGCCAAGGAAUUGGUGGAGUGAAGACUGAACUGAUCAACCUGAGCCCAGCAGACAGCAGCAGACAACAUGUCUAUGCACCUGCAGAGCUUCAGAUUCAGCUUCAGCUUCUUCUUGCCCUGUUAAGUUACUUAAUUAAGUGUACAAUUAAUUACAUACGGGUUUUUGUGAUAUAACUAAAUAGGUUUGUUAAGUACAGAUGUGUGUUAGUGCCAUUCGGCAGUCUACUCUCUCGGAAGCCAUAUAAACAUAUAUAAUAUAUAUGGUGGCAUGAGAGACUGUCAGAAUGUGCUGUGGUCAACAGAUGCCAUAGAGUGAUUUGUAGCUUGGAGUGGCAUCUAGUACCUCUAUGGGUUCAUCUUUCUUUCCUUUUUUUUUUCUUUUUAAUGUUUGGGUUUUAAUGUGGUUUGUAAAUGUACAUUAGUGGGAGAUGUGAGGAGAUCCUGUGAAUGAAAAUGUAUUGGUGGGGUAUAAUACAGUAUCAAGUUUCAGUUCACAUAUAUUGCCUGACGCAGAGUACACAUUUUUCAUGAGCUUCUGUGUAUUAUGAUCCAACCAUAACAUUCAUUUUGAAUAUACAAUCAAGAUCAGAGAGAAUAAAUUGACAUUUUGAAUUAAUUCCUAAUCCCCACAAGUCACUGCUUGUUCUAGUGCAUGAUUAAUUCUGAUUUUGCUUAAUUUAUGGGCAGGUAUACUAGUCCACAAAAACUGAUACACUAACUAAAUAUGCACUUCUCCAUUCCAAAAGUAGAUGAGAUUUUUUUUUGAAACAAUAGAUGAGAUUUUUGUUUUUGCACGGUAUCCACUUGGCAAGUUUGACUGUGAUUCUGCAUCUGUACUUGUUUGUAAGUAAAAUAACUAGUUAAGCAAAAAAAAGUAACUGUAAUAAAUUAUACUUUGAAUUAUUUUUCACGAAAAUAUAAUGGUGGGUUGUAGUUUCUAUAUAACAAUAUCUUCAUUUUUAUUAGCUAAUUUGUUAGAGGAAAAAAUAUUUUUCUUUUUAGAGAUCGGUCAGAUCUGCUUUGUACUAAAAGAUUUGGAACGAAAAUAGAGAGAGAGAGAGAGAGAGAGAGCGGGGAUGACAUCUAGAUACUAAUCCGACAACCUUCUUACGUCGACUGGGAUUUAAACCUUCUGCUUAAAAAAGUUGCAUAAGACAUAACCACAUAGCCACACUCUUUCAUUAAUUACUGAUCAGAGGUUUAAAAAACUCUGACCUCAGGCAUUCUAGUGAAUGAUGACCCCCUUAGGCCUUGUUUGGCACUCGAUCAGCGCCAUCAUCUCUACUUGUGUUCCAGGCUCACUCACGCAUCCAGAACUGCAUCCACAGCAAAAAGCAAGCAAGAAUCACACUCUACUAUUAAAAGAAUCCCAAAGCUGAGCAUAUAUAUGGUCACGACGAACCUGCUAUCCAUCUACCACAUCUCCACAAUCUUCUCUUCACCCUGUGUUGGCUGGAUCUGCUUCUUGACAUAAUCAGCUGCCUAUAUGAUCUUCUUGAUGGUGGUGAUCCUUCUGAGUGAGUACGCAGCUUCUUGAACUAGUGCCUCUUGGCCCGAGCUGAAAGCAAGAAAAAACAGUCAAAACACAAAACCAAAUUGAUUAGUUGUAACUAGUAAGUACUCAUGCCUAAUGGCUAAUGCCAAUGUUGGAGCCACGGGCAUAGCUUAGAGUACACAAACGAGCAUCAUACAUACGCAAACCAGGUUUCCCUUAUUAACCAACAUGUAGCAGACCAUGAAAGGAUUUAGAAAAGGAACUUCUACUCAUUUGGUAAUUUCGUCGAACACCUUGGCUGCAUGGACUAAGGCUAAAUGAACCACCAUCGGCUGGAAGAUAGUGAAAGGUUGGGUGGACCGUGGGCAUUGCAGCAUGGAUGUCAAUGUAGCCCCUGGUUUUGCAGCACGUACAAGCGCACGACCUUGCAGUCAGAAGACCUCGCGUGAUCCCGAUCCACCGCGCGCAGCGGGCAAUCAUUCAGCUCCACGACGACGAGGAACUUCCGGCCGCGGCACCGGCGGUGAGGAGCUUGGGAGAUGAAGGGGAGAGCAGGAGGUAGGCGGUCGCAGGCCGCCUCGCAGCAGUGGUGGCAAGGGCCAAGGUGAGCUCGCGAGGGCAUGUGUCAGCGGCGUUUGGAAGGGGCUACGCUUUGGGGUUGUAAAAUGAGAGAAAAUUACUAAAACCACCGACCUUUGGUGCACGUGUCUAGGAAAAUCAAUUUUUUUAAAAAAAUUUAUAAAUUAUCACCACUUUCUCCGUUAGUUGUACUCCCGCGCACUGAUUUUGUCUCUGAUCGCGUUUUGACACGAAAAUUGACAAGAGGGCCCACACAUCAGGUCCACAUAGGCUCCACGCUGGCCCAGGGCGUCCACCGUGUCCGGACCCGACCGAACCCGACCUAACCCUAGCCCCUUAGCACGACCCGAGCCCGACCUUGCCCUCGGCCUGGAACCCUAGAUCUCGUACCCGUCCCCGUCUCUCUCUGGUUGGCGACGUCGGAAGCGAUGGCGACCUCCAAGGUCGUCGAUGAUGGCGGCGGCACCGGCGAUGAGGGAGGCAACGAGUUCGCAGCGCUCCUGACCCAGGCAAGCGUGGCGGAGGCAAGUGGCGGAGGUGGGUCUUUGCCGUCAGUUCCGCCAUUGCCGGCGGCGUCGAGCAACAGCCCGCACUAGACCGACUACAUCGACUUUACACAGUAAGUUCUUAUCUCUUUUUCAUCUCAAUGUGCUCGAUUUGGGGGAUGGGGUUGCUUCAGUUCUAGGGUUCAUCUCAAUGUGCUCGAUUUGGGGGGUGGGGUUUCUCGAUUCCAUCGAUGUAGGAAGUAAUCUUAGUUCUUUUUUUGAGUUUUGUCGAUUUUGCAUUUCUGUGUAGGUUGGAUGACGAGAUAUGGCAGGUUAGAAUGAAAUUUGAGAGCGGGCAUACGGUGGAGAGGUACAUGGGUAGGUUAGAUUUGAUUUAUCUCAAUCUUCUUGGUUUGAUGGAGAGUGUUGGGUCUGGAAAGGAUUAUUACAUGCAUUAUGUUAAGGAGGAAGGGGUUGGUUUGAGAGGACCGGCUAUGAUUGAUGGAAAUGACAAGGUCAAGAUGAUGAAGAUUUAUCAGUCCUCCAAGCUGCUGAAUAUUACAGUGAUGAAGGGCAGGGGUUAUGGUUUAUCUCCCGUGAAGAGAGCUGCUGAAUUUUACAGUAAUAUACCGACGGUGGGCAGAAGGAAGAGGAAGAGGCCAGAUGUGAUUACAAUUGAGGAUGAAGAAGUAGCAGAAGCUGAGCAGCACAUUCAAACUCAAUCUAGUGUAAACAUGAUGGCUGAAGCUCAAGUUGGAGGUGCAGUUGAUAAGGGAAAAGCACCAGAAGCUAAGCAGCACAUUCAGACUCAAGCUAGUGUAAACAUGAUGGGUGAAGCUCAAGUUGGAGGUGCAAUUGAUAAGGGAAAAGCACAGGUAGCAGAUGAUACAUCAACAGAAUAUGACUCUGAGGAUUUUGAGAGUGACAGCAAUGCAGAUGCAGACAUUGAUUGUGGUGAGUACAAUGUACACCAAUACAAAACACAGGAGAUGAGAAGCAGUAAGAAGAUGAGCUUGCGCAGUUGGUAGCCAGAAUGAGAGUUGAGAGGAAUGAUCCACAGCAACACUUGGAGGGGGAUACAGAUGUUGAAGACCUUUAUGACCCAGAGCCUCAACUUGUUUCAGACAUUGAGGUUGAGGAUGGGCAACCAAUGCUUAAUCCAGAAAGGAAGAAACCAACAAGGAAAGGCCCCACAACCAGAUCACAUGCAAGUGUAGGUCCUAGCUUCAUUCCUGACCGCAUCAUUUCUUCUUCUGAAGAUAGUGAUCCUGGUCCUAUAUCUGAUGGAGAUGAUGAUGGGGCAGAGGGAAUGUCAUUUGUGGCUCCUUUAAGGAGGAAAAGCAGAUCCAAGAAGCAGGCAAAGAGGAUAUACUAUGAUGAAUCAAGGCAGGCAGCUCAUGAGCAGUUCUGCCUGAAGUUGUGCUUUGCUGAUGUAUAUCAGUUUAGAAGAGGUUUAGUUAAUCUGCACAUUGUCCAGAGCAGGGACUUCAGGUAUCAUAGGAAUUGUAAGAAAAGGGUUAUUGUUAAUUUCAAGCAAAAGAACUGUCCAUUCUACAUGGUUGCAUCUCAAAUCAAGAAUGAGAAGACCUUUUGCAUUAAGAAGAUUUUUUUGGACCACAUGUGUGGGAUCACAAAAGAGAGUACAAGGAUCAAUGCAAAGUGGUUGAGCAAGGCAUAUGAAGGUACCAUUAGAUCUGACGCCACAACAAAUGUCAAGUCAAUCAUGGAUAAAGCAAUGGAAGAUUUUGGAGUUGAAGUGCCCAAGAUGAUGGCUUACAGGGCUAAGAAUAAAGCAAUAGAAGUUGUUCUUGGUGAUCAUGUCAAGCAGUAUACAAGGAUAAGGGACUACAUGCAGACUGUAAUAGAUACCAAUCCUGGUAGCAGAUGCAUAGUCCAAACGGUCAGGCCAAAACCUGGAAAGAAUCCUAGAUUCCAUGGGUUGUUCUUCUGUGUAAAUGGCCCAAAAGAAGGUUUUCUGAAUGGAUCAGACCAUUCAUUGGUGAGUUUUCUCCAUAACUUGUUUACUAUUAUGUAGUGUUUUAACACUUGUUAAAUGAGUUACAUUGUGCUAAACUAUUACUUUGUUGUUCAUAUAGAUUUAGUUGUCAAUAACCUAAGUGAGGUCUUCAACAGGUUCAUUUUAGAUGUCAGGUCCAAACCAAUAGUCACCGUGAUAGAUGGUAUCAGGACAAAAAUGAUGGCCAGAUUUGUGAACAAAAGAGAUGGAGUUGCAGGAAACAGAUGGGAUAUUACAACAUCAUAUAGUGAGAAGCUGGAAAAUGAAAAAAAGUAUGCUAGGUUUUGUAGACCAAUUUGUGCUGGACCUGGAUUAUGGCAAGUGACAAGUGGUGAGAAUACCCAUGCUGUGAACCUUGAAGCUAAGACAUGUGGCUGUAGGAAGUGGGAUUUAACUGGCAUGCCUUACAAUCAUGCAAUUGCAGCAAUCUACAAGGCUAAACAACAUCCAGAGGAUUAUGUUCAUCCAUUUUUCGAGAAAGAGUUGUAUCUCCAAACCUACAGCCCUGUCAUUUAUCCUGUACCUGGUCAGCAUGAUUGGACCAAGACCAACACUGAUGACAUUGAUCCCCCUAUCUUCUUGAAGCAUCCUGGCAGACCAAAGCAUAAAAGGAGAAAGGGACAGUUUGAGCCUCCAGCUGCUAGGGACACUUCUAUAAUGGGAGUUAUUACAUGCAGUAAUUGCAAGCUGCAAGGACAUAACUACUUAAGCUGCAAGAAAGCACUGAGGCCUGAACUUCAGAUUAGGAAAAAUAAUCACAAGGUAUGAACAAUAAUGACUGCUAUGUACUGUAACAUGUCAAUUGAUUACCUUUUUCCUAUGCAAUUCACUAUUAUUUCCAUUCUUCUGCAGGCAAACAGGACUGUCCCUGAUUAUGUCAGUAACCCACCUUCUCCAACACAAGGUCAAGUAGCUCCAACAUCUUCUCAGCAAGCAGAGCAAGAACUACCAAGAACAUCUUCUAGCAGCAGAGCAACAGCAACUACACCACCUAGAACAGGUGCUCCAGCUCCUGCCCCAAGAAGGUCACCAAGGCAUGCUCAAGCCGGCACAGUUGCUCCAGCUCCUGCCCCAAGAAGAUCAACAAGACAAGGUCAAGCCGGCACAGCUGCUCCAGCUCCUGCCCCAAGAAGGUCACCAAGGCAUGCUCAAGCCGGCACAGCUGCUCCAGCUCCUGCCCCAAGAAGAUCAACAAGACAAGCGACUGCUUUCUCAGCUCCAAGGCCAUCAGGUGCAGAACAUGAAGAGCAGGCUGGAGCAAGUAGACCCAGGAAGAAGGGAAACAAAAUUAUGUAAUACUUCACUGUUGGUAAUGGCAGACGGGAGCGAUUGUUGUUGCUGUGAUGUAAGACACAAUUAUUUUGUGAAGCCCACUGUGAUGUGAUCUACUGUGAUCUCAAGUGGUGCUUGUGAGCUAGUCAAUAAACUUAAUGGUCUGUAAGCUAACUAAUUCUGAUGAACUUGUUCUGUAAUGCGUGAUGUAGGCUGAUACUUGUGCUGUAAUGCUUCCUGUAAGCUUUAUGGCUGAUGAAACUAGCUGAUGUGCCCUUCUAGAGAUGUGAACUGGCAGAUGUGAACUGGCAGUGAACAACUAUUUUGUUGAAUUAAUGGUCUGUAAGAUGAAGUUGUGCUGCUAUUAUGUGUUUUGCCCUGUAUGGUCUGUAAGCUUUCAUGUUGAAUUUAAUGCCUGAUGUAAGAUUCAAACAUAAAUAGAUAGCAUACACACCAUGACAUGACAUUAUUCACUAGUUCAAACUGAGUUAAGAGCUUCAAAGCAACAACAUCAUUCACUAGUUCAAACUGAGUUAAGAGCUUCAAAGCAACAACAUCAUUCACUAGUUCAAACUGAGUUAAGAGCUUCAAAGCAACAACAUCAUUCACUAGUUCACCAGAGAGAUAUAUUCAACACAGAACACACUACAUAUUCUGUUGUCACUACACAUAAUUCUUCUCUACUACCACAGUUAGGACAAAACCUAGUAAAAGCAAGACUACACCACCAACAUACAUCGGCCAUUGUUCCUUCUGUAGUACCAGUUGUCUCAGCCGUUUAACUUUAAGUUUUGAUUCAGUUUCAAUGUCAGCAAGCUGGAGCUCUAGCUGCAUCUUCAUCUCCUCUGCCUUCUUUCUUUCUUCCUCUGCUUUCCUCAGUGCAAAUUCAGCUAUGUUCUUCUCUUCAACAGCUUUGAAAAACAGUUCUUCUGCCUUCAUCUUCUCUUCCAUUGCCUUCCUCCUUUCAGCAUCCAUCAUACCAGCCUUCUCAAUCUCUCUCUGGCAAUUCUGUCCCAUUUCAUAAUUGCUCCACAGGUGAAGCAGCCUCUUCUUCAUUGGGUUUGGCCACUCCGGAUCAACCUAGUGCACAAAAUCACAGUCCUGAAUCUACACAUGAAGAAUAACAAUCAAUCGCUAAGCUAAUCAUGCAAAUUCCAACUACACUCACAGGCUUACAAUGUUCGAGCAACCAAUGUAGCGUCUGCAUGUAUGCUCGCCGCCUCUGGCCACUCGCCUUGAUCCGCGAAGCCCAUGAUGGCAACGGAUCUCUUCCUCCUCCCCAGGGAAAUCGGAA
Molecule: long non-coding RNA, 29523 nt
Filed under: Brachypodium distachyon (stiff brome)
Lineage: Eukaryota; Viridiplantae; Streptophyta; Magnoliopsida; Poales; Poaceae
Description: long non-coding RNA (BDIS_LNC004910)
Rfam family: Bacterial small subunit ribosomal RNA (bases 17585-18264)
Source: RNAcentral